This 191-nucleotide ribosomal RNA is filed under the name uncultured Pedobacter sp. Its description in RNAcentral is "partial 16S ribosomal RNA". It matches the Rfam family "Bacterial small subunit ribosomal RNA", at positions 335 to 523 of the family's 1533-position model. Lineage: Bacteria; Pseudomonadati; Bacteroidota; Sphingobacteriia; Sphingobacteriales; Sphingobacteriaceae. The record is from RNAcentral.
ACCCCUACGGGGGGCAGCAGUAAGGAAUAUUGGUCAAUGGAGGCAACUCUGAACCAGCCAUGCCGCGUGCAGGAAGACGGCCCUCUGGGUUGUAAACUGCUUUUGUACGGGAAUAAACCUCCGAUCGUGAUCGGAGCUGAAUGUACCGUAAGAAUAAGGAUCGGCUAACUCCGUGCCAGCAGCCGCGGUAA